This is a long non-coding RNA of Dreissena polymorpha, 875 nucleotides long. RefSeq lists it as uncharacterized. The transcript has 6 exons. Lineage: Eukaryota; Metazoa; Mollusca; Bivalvia; Myida; Dreissenidae. The record is from RefSeq and is a predicted model, not a curated record.
CAGAGACAAUACAUAUGUAACGUUGACAACGACAUAAAUAAGCAAUACAGUGGCGUUAUGUCGUUUGAAAAGGUAUUCUCAGAUAUAAGAUCUGCAGCGAAGGAAAUGAUACUUCGGAUUCAGGAACCAACUGAUAAGCGUUCGCUUGAGGAAAAAACAGCGAUCUUUCAGUCAUCCUUGAGACAAGCGGAAAAGAUGUUCAAACAUCAGGAUUAUCAUUUCCGACGUUUGUCGGAAAGGAGCUGUUUUCUGGAAGCUCUAAAUGCUAGCCAGGAAUUUUUGGUUCGACUGCAUCCAAAGACCAAGGCUUGUUGAGGCACUCUCGAUUCCGUUUUCUGAGUACAACCACAACUUGCGAUCUUUAGGGGAAGAUUACGCUAGGCGGACACCGCAUACACUACACAACGGCAAUAUUAUGCCUUUCAUAGCAAUUUGGACGACUACUAGAAAGAAAUUUUGAUAUUUAUCAAUAUGGAAAACGCGUUCAUAAGAUGCACAUUUUCUUCCGUUAAUUCAAGGAUGCAUGUGCGAUAAUAUUGGCGUCUUCUUUAUUCUAUUCCUUUUCUAUCAACAGCAAAUAAUGGCUAUAUAUGUGGCACUUGUUUCAGGAAAAAAAAAUUCAAAUGUAUGAAGAGCAAAUGAAGGAAUGUGAAAUGUUAAAAUCUCAAAUAUCCACAGCCUAUUCUAGCACAUUGAACGAAACUGUCGAGGUACUGAGACGAGAGUCUGCUUGGACCUUAGGCGUUAGAAGUGAACCCAGUCACCAACUUGAGCUGUUGAUUGAAAAAGAAGCGCUAUUGGAACAAGAAUAUGAUGAGACUCAAAAAGAUCUUAAUAACCAUGAAAUGCUGUUGAGCGGUCAUGAGGUGAAUAUG